This 332-nucleotide long non-coding RNA is filed under the name Zea mays. RNAcentral's name for it is "long non-coding RNA NONZMAT004602". The record is from RNAcentral. Lineage: Eukaryota; Viridiplantae; Streptophyta; Magnoliopsida; Poales; Poaceae.
ACACGCACCCACAGUCGCCGCGCCUCCGGAUCGAGCCAAACCAAUGCCGAGCUGGACGUCGGCAGCGCCCUCCCUGUCGGCGCGGCGGAUCCGGCGGCGCGCCUUACGCGGAUCCGAAACGCACGGCGGCGCGCUCCCGGGUUCGGACCGCGCGGAUCUGGCUGCGCCUGGCGGUGUACCCGGCAGCUCGGCAGCGACGUGGCGAGGGGAGAGGCGGAGACGACGGCGGCGAGGUACGUGGUGCUCUCGCUUUUUUUUUCGCGCUCGCAGCUCGGGGACGGUGAGGGAGGUGGGAGGAGGUGCUGGACUUGGACGGGUGGAGGAGCGCCAAG